UACACACCGCCCGUCACAUCAUGGGAGUUGGUUUUACCCGAAGUCGCUGGCCCAACCGCAAGGGGGGAGGCGCCUAAGGUGAGGCUGAUGACUGGGAUG
This 99-nucleotide ribosomal RNA is filed under the name uncultured bacterium. Its description in RNAcentral is "partial 16S ribosomal RNA". It matches the Rfam family "Bacterial small subunit ribosomal RNA", at positions 1384 to 1482 of the family's 1533-position model. The record is from RNAcentral.